This 253-nucleotide ribosomal RNA is filed under the name uncultured bacterium. RNAcentral's name for it is "partial 16S ribosomal RNA". It matches the Rfam family "Bacterial small subunit ribosomal RNA", at positions 524 to 776 of the family's 1533-position model. The record is from RNAcentral.
UACGGAGGGUGCAAGCGUUAUCCGGAUUCACUGGGUUUAAAGGGCGCGUAGGAGGGCAGGUAAGUCAGUGGUGAAAUCUCCAAGCUUAACUUGGAAACUGCCGUUGAUACUAUCUGUCUUGAAUAUUGUGGAGGUGAGCGGAAUAUGUCAUGUAGCGGUGAAAUGCUUAGAUAUGACAUAGAACACCAAUUGCGAAGGCAGCUCACUACACAAUCAUUGACUCUGAGGCACGAAAGCGUGGGGAUCAAACAGG